Molecule: ribosomal RNA, 1245 nt
Filed under: metagenome
Description: bacterial LSU rRNA
Rfam family: Bacterial large subunit ribosomal RNA
Source: RNAcentral
UGAAUACGAGAUGCUACGGCGUCGAAGCAGUGUAUGUCAGACUUCCAAGAAAAGCUUGCAAUGUCAUAAAUAAAGAAUGCCUGUACCAUAACCGACACAGGUGGGUAGGUAGAGUAUACUAAGGGGCGCGAGAUAACUCUCUCUAAGGAACUCGGCAAAAUAACUCCGUAACUUCGGGAGAAGGAGUGCCUUCUUUAAGAAGGUUGCAAUAACAAGAUCCAAGCAACUGUUUAUCAAAAACACAGGUCUCCGCUAAGUCGUAAGACGAUGUAUGGGGGCUGACGCCUGCCCAGUGCCAGAAGGUUAAAGAAGCUGGUUAGCAAUAGCGAAGCUGGUGACUGAAGCCCUGGUGAACGGCGGCCGUAACUAUAACGGUCCUAAGGUAGCGAAAUUCCUUGUCGGGUAAGUUCCGACCCGCACGAAAGGCGUAAUGAUUUGGAUACUGUCUCGGAGAGGGACUCGGUGAAAUAGACUUGUCUGUGAAGAUGCGGACUACCUGCACCAGGACAGAAAGACCCUAUGAAGCUUUACUGUAACCUGAAAUUGAAAUUGGACUUUAUUUGCGCAGUAUAGGUGGGAGGCGUUGAAAGUAAUCUUGCGGGAUUAGUGGAGCCAUCAGUGAGAUACCACUCCUAUAAUGUUAGAUUUCUAACUUUGGAUCAUGAUCUGGUCAAAGAACAGUUUCAGGCGGGCAGUUUGACUGGGGCGGUCGCCUCCCAAAUGGUAACGGAGGCGUACAAAGGUUUCCUCUGAACGGGUAGAAAUCGUAUCUAGAGUGUAAAGGCAUAAGGAAGCUUGACUGUGAGACCUACUAGUCGAGCAGGGACGAAAGUCGGUCUUAGUGAUCUGACGGUGCUGAGUGGAAAGGCCGUCACUCAACGGAUAAAAGUUACUCUAGGAUAACAGGCUGAUCUCCCCCAAGAGUUCACAUCGACGGGGAGGUUUGGCACCUCGAUGUCGGCUCAUCGCAUCCUGGGGCGGUAGUACGUCCCAAGGGUUGGGCUGUUCGCCCAUGAAAGCGGUACGCGAGCUGGGUUCAGAACGUCGUGAGACAGUUCGGUCCAUAUCCGGUGUAGGCGUUAGAAUAUUGAGAGGAGCCUUCUCUAGUACGAGAGGACCGAGAAGGACAUACCUCUGGUGUACCAGUUAUCGUGCCAACGGUAAACGCUGGGUAGCUAUGUAUGGAGAGGAUAACCGCUGAAAGCAUCUAAGUGGGAAGCCCACCUCAAGAUGAGUAUUCUCAUC